UCGAUAUUUUAAAGUUCGGACGUGAAGACAAAUGGACGUGAAACAAAACGAAGAAAUCGUAAUGUCUGUCGCUAAUAAAUAAUGAUGGUAACAAUAAAAAAAAAACGCGAUCGAUUGAAAUGUAAAUAACGACGACGACGACGACGAUGAUAACGACGACGAUGACGAAUGACGGUGACAAUGACGACGACGACGACGACGACGAAUGACAAGAAUGAUGAUGAUGAUGAUGAUGAUAUAGAUUAUAAUAAUGAUACAAUAACGAGGAAGAACGGUAAAUAAUUAAAUAGUUAACGAAUAAUUAACGACAAUGAGUAAUAAAAUAAAUUAUAACGAUUAAGUAAUUAUUAACAAUUAUUAAAAAGAAACAAAAAAAAAAAACAAUAACGUUAACGAUAGAAUGAUUACGAUUGCAGUUAUUGUUACACGUUCGAUGUGUCGCAUGCAUUCGAACAUACACGCACAUAUAUACACAAUACAUGCAACAUAUAACACAGGAAUAAUAAAUUAUUUCGAAAAAUAAAUGAAAAAUGUGUACGAUGCGUAUAAAGGGAUUGUAGCGUAAUGGAGCGAGAAUGUGCGAAAGCUGGAGCGAAUGGGACGCGUGAAUAUAAUAUAAUUGAAGAAAUUGAAGAGAGGAAGUCUGAAAAUGGUAUAAGUCUCAAGAAAAAAAAACCAAAAAAAAAAAAAAAACGAUAUAACACAAAAUGCAAGCACAUGUUCCCGUAUAAGCCAUUAAACGAUUAACGAAAUAUUAAAAAAACAAAAAAAGACAUAGGUAGAUAGUAUUUCGGUCGUGACAGAAAAAAAAUACGGAGGACAUACGAAACACGAAUCGCAAGAUUUGAGCAACUUGAGUGCCGAAUCGAUAUGAGAGAGAGAGAAGAGAGAGAGAGAGAGAGAGAGAGAGAGAGAGAGAGAAGAAAGACACGAGGAAAAGGAAACAUGGGAUGAAUAAAAGCUGACUAUCCGGUGGAAGUUCGAAAAAAAAGAAGAAAGAAUAAGUUUGAGCAGUAAUUGAAGUUUUGAUAGGAGCUAGCCAAGUGAAUGAAAAAAUGAGAGAAAUGGAAGAGUGAGAGAAGAGUGGUGCGAUAAAAUCGCGGUGAGAGAAAGAGGAUGACACGUUAUAUGGGAGGACGGGAAAGGAGAGGAGAGGGAGGGGAGGUUGAAAUGUUGAUGGGGAUGGGUGCACGUGUGCGUGUACGUGCAUACAAUGUGUGUGCGUAGCGGAGGGAGAGAGGCAAGAGGACCACAGACUACGUAUUGAUCUCGGCCAACGUAGAGCUCUCGCAUAAAACAGGGCAGCUACGUCGACGUUGAUGCCGACAUCUACGUAGUCGUAGUAAUUGUGGUGGUAUCGUAACUGGCUACGUCCUCCCGUUACUUCGAUUAUUACGUCCUCUCAAGACUUAUAUCUACCAUUGUCGAUGAAAAAAAAAAAAAAGAAAAAAAUUGACA
This 1458-nucleotide long non-coding RNA is filed under the name Apis dorsata (giant honeybee). Its description in RNAcentral is "uncharacterized LOC116186205, transcript variant X1". The record is from RNAcentral. Lineage: Eukaryota; Metazoa; Arthropoda; Insecta; Hymenoptera; Apidae.